RNAcentral lists this ribosomal RNA (273 nucleotides) under uncultured bacterium. Its description in RNAcentral is "partial 16S ribosomal RNA". It matches the Rfam family "Bacterial small subunit ribosomal RNA", at positions 523 to 796 of the family's 1533-position model. The record is from RNAcentral.
AUACAGAGGGUGCGAGCGUUAAUCGGAAUUACUGGGCGUAAAGCGCGCGUAGGCGGCUUAUUAAGUCAGAUGUGAAAUCCCCGGGCUCAACCUGGGAACUGCAUCUGAUACUGGUAGCUAGAGUUUUGGAGAGGGAAGUAGAAUUUCAGGUGUAGCGGUGAAAUGCAUAGAGAUCUGAAGGAAUACCAGUGGCGAAGGCGACUUCCUGGCCAAAAACUGACGCUGAGGUGCGAAAGCGUGGGUAGCAAACGGGAUUAGAAACCCUAGUAGUCC